CCCAGGAGCUGUGUAUGUCUGUGUGUCUGUCUACCUGGCAAGGAGAUAUGGCCCCCAUCAGACUGGAGCUCCACAGAGCAGGUCAAGCGAUUCUCCCGCCUCGGCCUCCCAAGGAACUGGAACCACAGGCAUGUGCCACUGUGCCCAAGGAUUUCCACUUUUAACUGUACAGUGAAGCACAGACUUCUGAGCCAGACUGCUUGGUCUGAACUCUGGUGUCACCACUUAGUAAGUUCUGGUUUGAAUGUACUCACUGAGUGGUCUUCAUAGAUUACCUCUCUGC
This 283-nucleotide non-coding RNA is filed under the name Pongo abelii (Sumatran orangutan). The record is from RNAcentral. Lineage: Eukaryota; Metazoa; Chordata; Mammalia; Primates; Hominidae.